This 467-nucleotide ribosomal RNA is filed under the name uncultured bacterium. Its description in RNAcentral is "partial 16S ribosomal RNA". It matches the Rfam family "Bacterial small subunit ribosomal RNA", at positions 29 to 507 of the family's 1533-position model. The record is from RNAcentral.
ACGCACGCUGGCGGCGUGCUUAACACAUGCCAGUCGAACGGAAAGGCCCUGCUUUUGUGGGGUGCUCGAGUGGCGAACGGGUGAGUAACACGUGAGUAACCUGCCCUUGACUUUGGGAUAACUUCAGGAAACUGGGGCUAAUACCGGAUAGGAGCUCCUGCUGCAUGGUGGGGGUUGGAAAGUUUCGGCGGUUGGGGAUGGACUCGCGGCUUAUCAGCUUGUUGGUGGGGUAGUGGCUUACCAAGGCUUUGACGGGUAGCCGGCCUGAGAGGGUGACCGGCCACAUUGGGACUGAGAUAUGGCCCAGACUCCUACGGGAGGCAGCAGUGGGGAAUAUUGCACAAUGGGCGGAAGCCUGAUGCAGCAACGCCGCGUGCGGGAUGACGGCCUUCGGGUUGUAAACCGCUUUCGCCUGUGACGAAGCGUGAGUGACGGUAAUGGGUAAAGAAGCACCGGCUAACUACGUG